CCCAUAUUAUCUCGGCCUUUCCCACCCCCCUUCCUCCUCGCCAACCCCACCUCCAAGUUUUCUAUUGUCCUUUUCUUUAUCUCUGGGACGGACACACUCCAAUGGAGCGCACAGAGAUCUCUUUUUUCCCCUUGUCCGGCUGUAAUGACCCUCAGUGGCCGGAAUAAUAGGCAGGGUGCUAAAGCUUUAAUGGCUAUCUUAGGCGCUUAAAUCCGAAUUAGUGUUUUGCCCCCAAAAUGACAGUCGGGAGGAGGCACAGGGGGAGGGGGGUAGUGCGACGUGGAAACACACCAAGGUAACGGCUGUAUUGCAGAGGAUCAUAAGCAAGAACAGCGUAAAAACCUGGGGAAUGUAUGAAAUUUGAACAUCGAUUAUUUGAACAUGACUGUAACCUAAACUUGCUAGAAGGGGUUGGAGGCAGAGAGCAAUUCAAUAACGGAAGUGGACGUGCUGAACCAGAUGUGUUUAUUACUUCACAACCGCAAAGCAAAAUGCAGAAGUUGGCACUUCUCUACGGAAGAAAAAUGAGGACUCCGCUGUAAAACAUGCGAAAAUCGACAAAACAUACUGAAAAAUGAAUGACAUCUCUGGGCUACAGAAGUAGUGGCUAUUAUUCGAAAUGGUCCAAGUUUCAGUCAUCACAUACACUGUGUCGCAACCAUAUCAACCCCCGUCAGUGUUUGUACGGCAGAUCCUCUGGACCUUUGUUAACCCCGAUGCAAAGUGAAAGAUCCUGCACUCAGGUGCUCACAAGCACACGACAUUCCUACACCACUUGCACUCUUGCAUCACCCCUAACAUCAGACCACGCAAAGAACCAAAAUGAUUUCCUUGUUUUCAAUAAACGCGCACGGAAAGAUGA
Molecule: long non-coding RNA, 862 nt
Organism: Brienomyrus brachyistius
Lineage: Eukaryota; Metazoa; Chordata; Actinopteri; Osteoglossiformes; Mormyridae
Exons: 2
Source: RefSeq, a predicted model, not a curated record